UACGUAGGGUGCAAGCGUUGUCCGGAAUUAUUGGGCGUAAAGAGCUCGUAGGCGGUCUGUCGCGUCGGAUGUGAAAAUCCAGGGCUUAACCCUGGACCUGCAUUCGAUACGGGCAGACUAGAGUUCGGUAGGGGAGUCUGGAAUUCCUGGUGUAGCGGUGAAAUGCGCAGAUAUCAGGAGGAACACCGGUGGCGAAGGCGGGUCUCUGGGCCGAUACUGACGCUGAGGAGCGAAAGCGUGGGGAGCGAACAGG
Molecule: ribosomal RNA, 253 nt
Filed under: uncultured bacterium
Lineage: Bacteria
Description: partial 16S ribosomal RNA
Rfam family: Bacterial small subunit ribosomal RNA
Source: RNAcentral